AGUGAACGCUGGCGGUAGGCCUAACACAUGCAAGUCGAACGGCAGCACAGUAAGAGCUUGCUCUUACGGGUGGCGAGUGGCGGACGGGUGAGGAAUACAUCGGAAUCUACUUUUUCGUGGGGGAUAACGUAGGGAAACUUACGCUAAUACCGCAUACGACCUACGGGUGAAAGCAGGGGAUCUUCGGACCUUGCGCGAUUGAAUGAGCCGAUGUCGGAUUAGCUAGUUGGCGGGGUAAAGGCCCACCAAGGCGACGAUCCGUAGCUGGUCUGAGAGGAUGAUCAGCCACACUGGAACUGAGACACGGUCCAGACCCCUACGGGAGGCACCAGUGGGGAAUAUUGGACAAUGGGCGCAAGCCUGAUCCAGCCAUACCGGGUGGGUGAAGAAGGCCUUCGGGUUGUAAAGCCCUUUUGUUGGGAAAGAAAAGCAGCAGGUUAAUACCCCGCUGUUCUGACGGUACCCAAAGAAUAAGCACCGGCUAACUUCGU
This 491-nucleotide ribosomal RNA is filed under the name uncultured bacterium. RNAcentral describes it as "partial 16S ribosomal RNA". It matches the Rfam family "Bacterial small subunit ribosomal RNA", at positions 29 to 506 of the family's 1533-position model. The record is from RNAcentral.